RNAcentral lists this ribosomal RNA (484 nucleotides) under uncultured bacterium. RNAcentral describes it as "partial 16S ribosomal RNA". It matches the Rfam family "Bacterial small subunit ribosomal RNA", at positions 28 to 523 of the family's 1533-position model. The record is from RNAcentral.
GAUGAAUGCUGGCGGCGUGCUUAACACAUGCAAGUCGAACGAUGAACCCGGAGCUUGCUCCGGCGGAUUAGUGGCGAACGGGUGAGUAACACGUGAGUAACCUGCCCUUGACUCUGGGAUAACUGCGGGAAACUGUAGCUAAUACCGGAUACGACCCUCGGCGGCAUCGCCAGGGGGUGGAAAGAAUUUCGGUCAAGGAUGGACUCGCGGCCUAUCAGCUUGUUGGUGGGGGGAUGGCCUACCAAGGCGACGACGGGUAGCCGGCCUGAGAGGGUGACCGGCCACACUGGGACUGAGAUACGGCCCAGAGUCCUACGGGAGGCAGCAGUGGUGAAUAUUGCACAAUGGGCGCAAGCCUGAUGCAGCGACGCCGCGUGAGGGAUGACGGCCUUCGGGUUGUAAACCUCUUUCAGCACAGACGAAGCGCAAGUGACGGUAUGUGCAGAAGAAGGACCGGCCAACUACGUGCCAGCAGCCGCGGUAA